This 119-nucleotide non-coding RNA is filed under the name Candidatus Zhuqueibacterota. Its description in RNAcentral is "Candidate division MoCo sequence". It matches the Rfam family "Molybdenum/Tungsten riboswitch aptamer (Moco RNA motif)". The record is from RNAcentral. Lineage: Bacteria; Pseudomonadati.
UUCGUAGAAAAUCUCCGAGCCAUUCUGCCUACGGAGCGAUCUAAGGCGAUUGGCCGAUAGGGUUCAGGUGGAAACGCCUCAGCCUCCCGUGCUUGGAAAGGAGAUGUUAAUUAAGAAAA